GACGAACGCUGGCGGUGUGCUUAAUACAUGCAAGUCGAACGGUAAGGCCCUUUCGGGGGUACACGAGUGGCGAACGGGUGAGUAACACGUGAGUAACCUGCCCUCAUCUCUGGGAUAACAGUCGGAAACGGUUGCCAAUACUGGAUAUGAGCUUGCAUGGCAUCUUGUGGGUUGGAAAGAUUUUUUUUGGUUGGUGAUGGAGUCGCGGCCUAUCCGCUUGUUGUUGAGGUAGUGGCUCACCAAGGCUUCGACGGGUAGCCGGCCUGCGAGGGCGAAGGGCCAGAUUGGAAUUGUGAGACAGCCCGAACUCGUGCAGGAUGCAGCAGGGGGGAAUAUUGGACGAUGGAAGGAAGCCUGAGGCAUGAACGUCGCGGGCUGGAUGACGGCCUUCGGGUGGUAAGCCGAUUUGAAUAGGUACGUAGCUUUGUCGUGACGGUAGCAAUAGAAGAAGCACCGGCUAACUACGUG
Molecule: ribosomal RNA, 468 nt
Filed under: uncultured bacterium
Lineage: Bacteria
Description: partial 16S ribosomal RNA
Rfam family: Bacterial small subunit ribosomal RNA
Source: RNAcentral